GGUUAAGCGACUAAGCGUACACGGUGGAUGCCCUGGCAGUCAGAGGCGAUGAAGGACGUGCUAAUCUGCGAAAAGCGUCGGUAAGGUGAUAUGAACCGUUAUAACCGGCGAUGUCCGAAUGGGGAAACCCAGUGCGAUUCGUUGCACUAUCGUUAACUGAAUACAUAGGUUAACGAGGCGAACCGGGGGAACUGAAACAUCUAAGUACCCCGAGGAAAAGAAAUCAACCGAGAUUCCCCCAGUAGCGGCGAGCGAACGGGGAGCAGCCCAGAGUCUGAAUCAGCUUGUGUGUUAGUGGAACGGUCUGGAAAGUCCGACGGUACAGGGUGAUAGUCCCGUACACCAAAAUGCACAGGCUGUGAACUCGAAGAGUAGGGCGGGACACGUGGUAUCCUGUCUGAAUAUGGGGGGACCAUCCUCCAAGGCUAAAUACUCCUGACUGACCGAUAGUGAACCAGUACCGUGAGGGAAAGGCGAAAAGAACCCCGGCGAGGGGAGUGAAAAAGAACCUGAAACCGUGUACGUACAAGCAGUGGGAGCACCUUCGGGUGUGACUGCGUACCUUUUGUAUAAUGGGUCAGCGACUUAUAUUCUGUAGCAAGGUUAACCGUAUAGGGGAGCCGCAGGGAAACCGAGUCUUAACUGGGCGUUAAGUUGCAGGGUAUAGACCCGAAACCCGGUGAUCUAGCCAUGGGCAGGUUGAAGGUUGGGUAACACUAACUGGAGGACCGAACCGACUAAUGUUGAAAAAUUAGCGGAUGACUUGUGGCUGGGGGUGAAAGGCCAAUCAAACCGGGAGAUAGCUGGUUCUCCCCGAAAGCUAUUUAGGUAGCGCCUCGUGAACUCAUCUUCGGGGGUAGAGCACUGUUUCGGCUAGGGGGUCAUCCCGACUUACCAACCCGAUGCAAACUACGAAUACCGAAGAAUGUUAUCACGGGAGACACACGGCGGGUGCUAACGUCCGUCGUGAAGAGGGAAACAACCCAGACCGCCAGCUAAGGUCCCAAAGUCAUGGUUAAGUGGGAAACGAUGUGGGAAGGCACAGACAGCCAGGAUGUUGGCUUAGAAGCAGCCAUCAUUUAAAGAAAGCGUAAUAGCUCACUGGUCGAGUCGGCCUGCGCGGAAGAUGUAACGGGGCUAAACCAUGCACCGAAGCUGCGGCAGCGACACUAUGUGUUGUUGGGUAGGGGAGCGUUCUGUAAGCCUGCGAAGGUGUGCUGUGAGGCAUGCUGGAGGUAUCAGAAGUGCGAAUGCUGACAUAAGUAACGAUAAAGCGGGUGAAAAGCCCGCUCGCCGGAAGACCAAGGGUUCCUGUCCAACGUUAAUCGGGGCAGGGUGAGUCGACCCCUAAGGCGAGGCCGAAAGGCGUAGUCGAUGGGAAACAGGUUAAUAUUCCUGUACUUGGUGUUACUGCGAAGGGGGGACGGAGAAGGCUAUGUUAGCCGGGCGACGGUUGUCCCGGUUUAAGCAUGUAGGCUGGUUGUCCAGGCAAAUCCGGAUAAUCAAGGCUGAGGUGUGAUGACGAGGCACUACGGUGCUGAAGUAACAAAUGCCCUGCUUCCAGGAAAAGCCUCUAAGCAUCAGGUAACAUCAAAUCGUACCCCAAACCGACACAGGUGGUCAGGUAGAGAAUACCAAGGCGCUUGAGAGAACUCGGGUGAAGGAACUAGGCAAAAUGGUGCCGUAACUUCGGGAGAAGGCACGCUGGUGUGUAGGUGAAGUCCCUGCGGAUGGAGCUGAGACCAGUCGAAGAUACCAGCUGGCUGCAACUGUUUAUUAAAAACACAGCACUGUGCAAACACGAAAGUGGACGUAUACGGUGUGACGCCUGCCCGGUGCCGGAAGGUUAAUUGAUGGGGUUAUCCGUAAGGAGAAGCUCUUGAUCGAAGCCCCGGUAAACGGCGGCCGUAACUAUAACGGUCCUAAGGUAGCGAAAUUCCUUGUCGGGUAAGUUCCGACCUGCACGAAUGGCGUAAUGAUGGCCAGGCUGUCUCCACCCGAGACUCAGUGAAAUUGAACUCGCUGUGAAGAUGCAGUGUACCCGCGGCAAGACGGAAAGACCCCGUGAACCUUUACUAUAGCUUGACACUGAACAUUGAGCCUUGAUGUGUAGGAUAGGUGGGAGGCUUUGAAGCGUGGACGCCAGUCUGCGUGGAGCCAACCUUGAAAUACCACCCUUUAAUGUUUGAUGUUCUAACGUUGGCCCCUGACCGGGGUUGCGGACAGUGUCUGGUGGGUAGUUUGACUGGGGCGGUCUCCUCCCAAAGCGUAACGGAGGAGCACGAAGGUUAGCUAAUCCUGGUCGGACAUCAGGAGGUUAGUGCAAUGGCAUAAGCUAGCUUGACUGCGAGCGUGACGGCGCGAGCAGGUGCGAAAGCAGGUCAUAGUGAUCCGGUGGUUCUGAAUGGAAGGGCCAUCGCUCAACGGAUAAAAGGUACUCCGGGGAUAACAGGCUGAUACCGCCCAAGAGUUCAUAUCGACGGCGGUGUUUGGCACCUCGAUGUCGGCUCAUCACAUCCUGGGGCUGAAGUAGGUCCCAAGGGUAUGGCUGUUCGCCAUUUAAAGUGGUACGCGAGCUGGGUUUAGAACGUCGUGAGACAGUUCGGUCCCUAUCUGCCGUGGGCGCUGGAGAAUUGAGGGGGGCUGCUCCUAGUACGAGAGGACCGGAGUGGACGCAUCACUGGUGUUCGGGUUGUCAUGCCAAUGGCACUGCCCGGUAGCUAAAUGCGGAAGAGAUAAGUGCUGAAAGCAUCUAAGCACGAAACUUGCCCCGAGAUGAGUUCUCCCUGAGACUUUAAGUCUCCUGAAGGAACGUUAAAGACGAUGACGUUGAUAGGCCGGGUGUGUAAGCGCAGCGAUGCGUUGAGCUAACCGGUACUAAUGAACCGUGAGGCUUAACCUU
Molecule: ribosomal RNA, 2902 nt
Filed under: Klebsiella pneumoniae
Lineage: Bacteria; Pseudomonadati; Pseudomonadota; Gammaproteobacteria; Enterobacterales; Enterobacteriaceae
Description: 23S ribosomal RNA
Rfam family: Bacterial large subunit ribosomal RNA
Source: RNAcentral